AACGAACGCUGGCGGCAGGCCUAACACAUGCAAGUCGAACGCUCUUUUCGGAGAGAGUGGCGCACGGGUGAGUAACGCGUGGGAAUCUGCCCUUUGGUUCGGAAUAACCCUGGGAAACUAGGGCUAACACCGGAUGAGCCCCGAGUUCCGCGAGGGGAGUUGGGGGAAAGUUUACGCCGAAGGAGGAGCCCCGCGUCCGAUUAGCUAGUUGGUGAGGUAAGAGCUCACCAAGGCUUCGAUCGGUAGCUGGUCNGAGAGGACGAUCAGCCACACUGGGACUGAGACACGACCAGACUCCUACGGAGGCAGCAGUGGGAAUAUUGGACAAUGGGCGCAAGCCUGAUCCAGCCAUGCCGCGUGAGUGAUGAA
RNAcentral lists this ribosomal RNA (369 nucleotides) under uncultured bacterium. Its description in RNAcentral is "bacterial SSU rRNA". It matches the Rfam family "Bacterial small subunit ribosomal RNA", at positions 29 to 412 of the family's 1533-position model. The record is from RNAcentral.